GACGAACGCUGGCGGCGUGCUUAACACAUGCCAGUCGAACGGAAAGGCCCUGCUUUUGUGGGGUGCUCGAGUGGCGAACGGGUGAGUAACACGUGAGUAACCUGCCCUUGACUUUGGGAUAACUUCAGGAAACUGGGGCUAAUACCGGAUAGGAGCUCCUGCUUCAUGGUGGGGGUUGGAAAGUUUCGGCGGUUGGGGAUGGACUCGCGGCUUAUCAGCUUGUUGGUGGGGUAGUGGCUUACCAAGGCUUUGACGGGUAGCCGGCCAGUGAGGGUGACCGGCCACAGUGGAGAUGAGAUACGGCGCAGACUCCUACGGGAGGCAGGAGUCGGAAAUAUUGUAUAAUCGGCGGAAGCCUAAUGCAGCACCGCCGCGUGCGGGAUGACGGGCUUCAGGUUGUAACCCGCUUACGCCUGUGACGAAGCGUGAGUGACGAUAAUGGGUAAAGAAACACAGGCUAACUAAGUG
This 468-nucleotide ribosomal RNA is filed under the name uncultured bacterium. Its description in RNAcentral is "partial 16S ribosomal RNA". It matches the Rfam family "Bacterial small subunit ribosomal RNA", at positions 28 to 507 of the family's 1533-position model. The record is from RNAcentral.